GGGGUUGUGCUGCCAAGUUUAGUUUUUCUGGGAUGUGUAGUUUUGUUGUUUUGUCCUAGGCCGAAAUUUCAUUACCCUUUUAUAUAUAUAGAUGUGGGAGGGGCUGCAGACCAUGUGAUCAGAUCUGGGCUUGUUCAGGACUCAGACUCUGUUUUUAGAACAGUUCAGUUUAAACUUCAGUAUGUUGGACUUCAUUGGACUUUCAGACGAGACAGAGACUCUAUUAAACUCUCAGAACAGAGAGAUGCUUUGGAUUAUGGACUGUUGAUUCUGAGAAAGAUGCCCUUGUGUUACUUACACAGAAAAACUACUUUAAAUCUUAUUUGUAGCUAGAUCGAUAAGCAAAGCACCUGUAUACUGUACACAUGAAGUUUAUGAGUAAACCAACUAUGUAACUUUUAAAGAAAUCUACUUAUUUUUGUCUCUUGAGGACAUGAUUUAAAGGCAAAUAUAUUUUAAGGGAGAGUAAAUGGCUUGGGGGCAACUAAAAAGAACACUUCUGAAACUCUGAUAUACAGUAGAGUCUCACUUAUCCAACAUAAACAGGCCAGCAGAAUGUUGGAUAAGCGAAAAUGUUGGAUAAUAAGGAGGGAUUAAGGAAAAGCCUAUUAAAUGUCAAAUUAUGUUAUGAUUUUAUAAAUUAAGCACCAAUGCAUCAUGUUUUACAACAGAAAAAGCAGUGCAAUACACGGUAACGUUAUGUAGUAAUUACUGUACUUGCAAAUUUUGCACCAAAACAUUGCAAUAAAGAUAGAAUUGAUGCCUCGAGAAACAGCUGUGGAUCAGGGCAGGAGGCAGACUGCAUUGGAUAAUCCAGAACGUUGGAUGAGUGAAGGUUGGAUAAGCGAGACUCUAUUGUGUGUGUGUGUAUAUAUAUAUAUAUAUAGAGAGAGAGAGAGAGCCCCCAGUGGCACAGCAGAUUAAACCACUGAGUUGUUGAACUUGCUGACCGAAAGGUUGGCAAUUCAAAUCCAGGGAGCAGAGUGAGCUCCUGCUAUUAGCCCCAGCUUCUGCCAACCUAGCAGUUUGAAAACAUGCAAAUAUGAGUAGAUCAAUAGGUACUGCUUCUGUGGGAAUGUAACAGUGCUCCAUGCAGUCAUGCUGGCCACAUGACCUAGGAGGUGUCUAUGGACAACACCAGCUCUUUGGCCUACAAUGGAGAUGAGCACCAACCAACCCCCCAGAGUCAGACACGACUAGACUUAAUUUCAGGGGAAAACCUUUUACAUAUACAGUAGAGUCUUACUUAUCCAUCACUCGCUUAUCCAACGUUCUGGAUUAUCCAACGCAUUUUUGUAGUCAAUGUUUUCAAUACAUCGUGAUAUUUUGGUGCUAAAUUCGUAAAUACAGUAAUGACUACAUAGCAUUACUGUGUAUUGAACUACUUUUUCUGUCAAAUUUGUUGUAUAACAUGAUGUUUUGGUGCUUAAUUUGUAAAAUCAUAACCUAAUUUGAUGUUUAAUAGGCUUUUCCUUAAUCUCUCCUUAUUAUCCAACAUAUUUGCUUAUCCAAGGUUCUGCCGGCCCAUUUUGGUUGGAUAAGUGAGACUCUACUGUAUAUAUAUAUAUAUGCAUAUAUAUAUAUAUAUAUAUAUAUAUAUAUAUAUAUAUAUAUAUAUAAAGAGAGAGAGAGAGAGAGAGAGAGAGAGAGAGAGAGAGCGCCCUCGGUGGCACAGCGGAUUAAACCACUGAGCUGAUGAACUUGCUGACCGAAAGGGUGGCGAUUCAAAUCCGGGGAGUGGAAUGAGCUCCUGCUAUUAGCCCCAGCUUCUGCCAACCUAGCAGUUUGAUAACAUGCAAAUAUAAGUAGAUCAAUAGGUACUGCUUCUGUGGGAAGGUAACUGUGCUCCAUGCAGUCAUGCUGGCCACAUGACCUAGGAGGUGUCUAUGGACAAUACCGGCUCUUUGGCCUACAAUGGAGAUGAGCACCAACCAACCCUCCAGAGUCAGACUUAAUUUCAGGGGAAAACCUUUACCUAUAUAUAUCUCUAUCUAUCUAUCAUGUUUUUGUGCAUUGGCAUAUCUUUGUUCCUAACAGAACAAAGAGAUAUCUAUGUUUAUCAGUCUAACAGCUGAGA
This 2077-nucleotide long non-coding RNA is filed under the name Anolis carolinensis (green anole). RNAcentral describes it as "lncRNA (ENSACAG00000035079.1)". The record is from RNAcentral. Lineage: Eukaryota; Metazoa; Chordata; Lepidosauria; Squamata; Anolidae.